AAGGCAUCUUUUUGUUUUUAAAAGACCUUCUUACGAAGGUAUGCUUAAAGAGGGGCUUGCGCCACAUUAGUUAGUUGGUAGAGUAAAAGCCUACCAAGACGAUGAUGUGUAGCUGGACUGAGAGGUUGAACAGCCACAUUGGGACUGAGACACGGCCCAAACUCCUACGGGAGGCAGCAGUAGGGAAUUUUCGGCAAUGGAGGAAACUCUGACCGAGCAACGCCGCGUGAACGAUGAAGUAUUUCGGUAUGUAAAGUUCUUUUAUUGAAGAAGAAAAAGUAGUGGAAAAACUAUAUUGACGUUAUUCAAUGAAUAAGCCCCGGCUAACUAUGUGCCAGCAGCCGCGGUAAGACAUAGGGGGCGAGCGUUAUCCGGAAUUAUUGGGCGUAAAGGGUGCGUAGGCUGUUAGAUAAGUCUAUAAUUUAAUUUCAGUGCUUAACGCUGUCUUGUUAUAGAAACUGUCUUGACUAGAGUGAGAUAGAGGCAAGCGGAAUUCCAUGUGUAGCGGUAAAAUGUGUAAAUAUAUGGAGGAACACCAGAAGCGUAGGCGGCUUGCUGGGUCUUUACUGACGCUGAGGCACGAAAGCGUGGGUAGCAAACAGGAUUAGAUACCCUGGUAGUCCACGCCGUAAACGAUGAGUACUAAGUGUCGGGGUAAAACUCGGUACUGAAGUUAACACAUUAAGUACUCCGCCUGAGUAGUACGUACGCAAGUAUGAAACUUAAAGGAAUUGACGGGACUCCGCACAAGCGGUGGAUCAUGUUGUUUAAUUCGAAGAUACACGAAAAAUCUUACCAGGUCUUGACAUACUCUGCAAAGCUAUAGAAAUAUAGUGGAGGUUAUCAGGGAUACAGGUGGUGCAUGGUUGUCGUCAGUUCGUGUCGUGAGAUGUUAGGUUAAGUCCUAAAACGAACGCAACCCUUGUCGUUAAUUGCCAGCACAUAAUGGUGGGGACUUUAACGAGACUGCCAAUUAAACAUUGGAGGAAGGUGAGGAUUACGUCAAAUCAUCAUGCCCCUUAUGAUCUGGGCUACAAACGUGAUACAAUGGCUGUGACAAAGAGUAGCUGAAACGCGAGUUUUUAGCCAAUCUCAAAAAAGCAGUCUCAGUUCGGAUUGAAGUCUGUAACUCGACUUCAUGAAGUUGGAAUCGCUAGUAAUCGCGAAUCAGCAUGUCGCGGUGAAUACGUUCUCGGGGUUUGUACACACCGCCCGUCAAACCACGAAAGUUAGCAAUGCCCGAAAGCAGUAGCUUAACUUCGCAAGAAGAGGGAACUGUCUAAGGUAGGGUUGAUGAUUGGGGUUAAGU
Molecule: ribosomal RNA, 1309 nt
Filed under: 'Manilkara zapota' flat stem little leaf phytoplasma
Lineage: Bacteria; Bacillati; Mycoplasmatota; Mollicutes; Acholeplasmatales; Acholeplasmataceae
Description: bacterial SSU rRNA
Rfam family: Bacterial small subunit ribosomal RNA
Source: RNAcentral